GCAGCCUGAAAGCGUCAUGACGUCAUGGCCCUGGAGACCGUCGGGCGCAGCUCAAGAGAAACAGAGACAAAGAACAAUGGCGGCGGCAGCGGUUACAGAGAGAGAGAGUGAGAGAGAGAAGAGAGAGAGGAACAUUGCUGCCGCAGAUCGUCACUCAAUGAUUUUUUAAUGAGUAAAAACCUUCUCACAGAAGAAGGGAUAGUGAUGCAAACAAUUUAUCAAGAAAUGAGUGUUGAUGGUUUACCAUAUUUCCUGGAAGAGCAGCAGGCAGCCGGGAAUCUGUCAGUUGAGUUUCUAGACAAACCCACGCCAUGCAUGUGAUCUCCUUUCCGAUCAAGUGAAUAAAAAGAGCAAAGCGACACCAACUCAGGACGAUGACGCAAUCCGCAGAAACUUAGAUACCCGUGAAGUGAGUUUCACUGAUCUGAGAUGAACACGAGAACUCGCUGGGAAACCGCAAUCAUGUGUUUGGCAAUACGAGUAUCAACCCUUUUGUGAAUAUAUUUUGUGUCAUACAAUAAUGAGCUUAUCUGUUUGAUUUUCUUGCACAAAUGCCAGAGAUGAUGAAAAGCAUUUUAUACAUACGCUUGUUCCCAUGGAAAUCCAUAGCGCUGUAUGAACAUUUGCUUUUCUCCAACACGAUAUUCUGAAUGAAAGUACAACAUGAAAAAUAACUUGAAAUAUUGGAGCGCCUUUCCACAGGACAGCUUCUGGGGUUGCUAUCGUGACUGGAAGGAGAGGAGAACGACAGUCGAAGAUUUUAAGGCGAAACUUCAAGAUAUUUAAAGAGAAGACGAGGCUUGGAGAUUGAAACAUUCAAUGACUAAAGUUUGGGAGCCAGUAGCACAUGGCAACGACAACCAAUGGCGAAGUAAAAUGUCGGGGACCUGCUGUAGGUCUGUGCAUUCUGCGCGUAAAGUCGGGACCUGGUGAGCGGCCAGAGGUGGAACUAACCUCGCUGUGGAAACCUGAGAUAAAAGGUGCUGAGACCAAAGACGGUCUAAUUCUGGUCAGUUAAAACAAAAACUCGGAACACGAAAUCAGAAUCACUGCAGUCACUUUUAUUUCAUGCCUUAUAAUCUAUUCUUUUACGAGAGGAAAAAACACAUAAUUUCACAAUGAGUCAAUAAACGUGGUAAUGGCAGCAGCAUUGCAGUAAAGAAUAAAGAUUUACACAAUAUAGGACCAGAUCAUCAGCAAACAUCACAACAAAAUGAAGCUCCACUAACAAGUUCAUUUCUUCUCGCUUUGACAAUUUAUCCCUUCAUUAUACCGAUAUUUGUUAAUAAUAUUUUAUCUGGAGUUAUGCAAACUAUGUUUUGAGUUCAGGUUAGUUUAACUACGAUUACCUUUCUGCUUGGUUAAGUCAAGAAACGCUAACUAGCAAAGGCACACCUAACUUAGCUAAAACAAUAAACUGAACAGUGAUCAUCGCUGAUCACACGGCGACCAAACAGGAAGGGAGGCGAGGAAACCUUUACCAUAACUAAAGAGGGACAGUAUAAUAUGGCACAAACAUUAUUGUUAUAAAUGUCGAUUUAGCGGAUAAAUAUUGUAACAGACACAGUUAUAAAUAUACGGGUGAACAGUAUGUAUUUUCUGGUUUAACGUUUGCUCCAGUUUGUCUUCUUCUAUUUCACUUUUUAGAAUAUUUACUAUUGAUUGUGAAAGGAUAUUUAAUUGCAUUCUUCAGCUCCUCUCUGAAUUUGGUCUGAGUGACCGCAUAGAUGGCUGUGUUUGUGCAGGAACUCAGCAGCUGAAGCAUAAAACCUGCUUCUUCAAACAUUGCCAACGGGUUAUAGAGACCUCUCGACCUGUAAAGCUCUUUAACUCUGUAUUGUAUAUAAUGUGCAAUAGAUGUCAUCCACAACAAUAUAAAGCUAAGUGAUACACUGAA
Long non-coding RNA from Callorhinchus milii (elephant shark), 1897 nucleotides. RefSeq lists it as uncharacterized. The transcript is spliced from 3 exons. Lineage: Eukaryota; Metazoa; Chordata; Chondrichthyes; Chimaeriformes; Callorhinchidae. The record is from RefSeq and is a predicted model, not a curated record.